ACAAUUUGAUACUCCUCCUCUAUGUUUUAACCACGCAAUUUCAGGCCACUUCGGCCUUGGUCGGAGUGGUGGGCUGCUGCCCUCACAAGCAUUGUGAGGGCAGUGGUUCAAGCUCCCACAAAAGUAUUUGUGGGGACUAACGUGCUUAUUUGUUUAAUAUUUCAAAAAUUUCUUCUCCCUCGUGCAAUAUGAGUGGAGUAUGGACAUCCCUCUUCUGUAAGGGAUUAUUUGUCUGGGCAUGUACUUCACGGGAUUAUUUGUCUGGGCAUGUACUUCACAGAAUUCAAUGUAAUAAUAUAAGUCCCAAUCAUGUAUUUCUGAUUGUAAAUAUCAGUGUAAUAUAUCUGUUAUAAUAGCAGUUGUAAAUAUCUGUGUAAUGCAGUAAUAUGAUUUCUGUGUAAUGCAGUAAUAUGAUGAUUAAUCAGUAUUAAAAAAAAAACCACGCAAUUUCAGAUUCUAGGAUACUGGUGGAUUGGUGAGAAAGAUC
RNAcentral lists this long non-coding RNA (487 nucleotides) under Citrus sinensis (sweet orange). RNAcentral's name for it is "long non-coding RNA (CSIN_LNC004517)". Lineage: Eukaryota; Viridiplantae; Streptophyta; Magnoliopsida; Sapindales; Rutaceae. The record is from RNAcentral.